UGCUCAAAGAUCGUAAUUCAUAGUCUCCUGU
Molecule: non-coding RNA, 31 nt
Filed under: Mus musculus (house mouse)
Lineage: Eukaryota; Metazoa; Chordata; Mammalia; Rodentia; Muridae
Source: RNAcentral